Molecule: ribosomal RNA, 253 nt
Filed under: uncultured bacterium
Lineage: Bacteria
Description: partial 16S ribosomal RNA
Rfam family: Bacterial small subunit ribosomal RNA
Source: RNAcentral
UACGUAGGGGGCAAGCGUUGUCCGGAAUCAUUGGGCGUAAAGAGCGUGUAGGCGGCUCGAUAAGUCCGCUGUGAAAGUCCAGGGCUCAACCCUGGAAGGCCGGUGGAAACUGUCGGGCUAGAGUCCGGAAGAGGCGAGUGGAAUUCCCGGUGCAGCGGUGAAAUGCGCAGAUAUCGGGAGGAACACCAAUGGCGAAGGCAGCUCGCUGGGACGGUACUGACGCUGAGACGCGAAAGCGUGGGGAGCAAACAGG